RNAcentral lists this transfer RNA (67 nucleotides) under Convexana sp. 1 JW-2022a. RNAcentral describes it as "tRNA-Ser". The record is from RNAcentral. Lineage: Eukaryota; Metazoa; Arthropoda; Insecta; Hemiptera; Cicadellidae.
AGUUAUUUAGCUUAAAAGUUUAAAGCAUGUAUUUUGAAAAUACAAGAAAGAUUAGAUUUAAUAACUU